AACGAACGCUGGCGGCAUGCCUAACACAUGCAAGUCGAACGAGACCUUCGGGUCUAGUGGCGCACGGGUGCGUAACGCGUGGGAAUCUGCCCCUUGGUUCGGAAUAACAGCGAGAAAUUACUGCUAAUACCGGAUGAUGACUUCGGUCCAAAGAUUUAUCGCCCAAGGAUGAGCCCGCGUAAGAUUAGCUAGUUGGUGAGGUAAAAGGCCUCUUUUUACCAAGGCGACGAUCUUUAGCUGGUCUGAGAGGAUGAUCAGCCACACUGGGACUGAGACACGGCCCAGACUCCUACGGGUGGCAGCAGUGGGGAAUAUGACAAUGGCGAAAGACCUGAUCCAGCAAUGCCGCGUGAGUGAUGAAGCCUAGGGUUGUAAAGCUCUUUACCUAGGGA
This 392-nucleotide ribosomal RNA is filed under the name uncultured bacterium. RNAcentral describes it as "bacterial SSU rRNA". It matches the Rfam family "Bacterial small subunit ribosomal RNA", at positions 29 to 445 of the family's 1533-position model. The record is from RNAcentral.